AGUAACACGUGGGUAACCUGCCUUAUGAGGGGGAGUAACAGAGAGAAAUCACUGCUAAUACCGCAUAAGCACACAGUACCGCAUGGUACAGGGUGAAAAGAUUUAUCACCAUAAGAUGGACCCGCGUCUGAUUAGCCAGUUGGCAGGGUAAAAGCCUACCAAAGCGACGAUCAGUAGCCGAUCUGAGAGGAUGACCGGCCACAUUGGGACUGAGACACGGCCCAA
RNAcentral lists this ribosomal RNA (225 nucleotides) under uncultured bacterium. RNAcentral describes it as "partial 16S ribosomal RNA". It matches the Rfam family "Bacterial small subunit ribosomal RNA", at positions 109 to 334 of the family's 1533-position model. The record is from RNAcentral.